Molecule: ribosomal RNA, 253 nt
Filed under: uncultured bacterium
Lineage: Bacteria
Description: partial 16S ribosomal RNA
Rfam family: Bacterial small subunit ribosomal RNA
Source: RNAcentral
UACGUAGGGGGCUAGCGUUGUUCGGAUUUACUGGGCGUAAAGCGCACGUAGGCGGACUAUUAAGUCAGGGGUGAAAUCCCGGGGCUCAACCCCGGAACUGCCUUUGAUACUGGUAGUCUUGAGUUCGAGAGAGGUGAGUGGAAUUCCGAGUGUAGAGGUGAAAUUCGUAGAUAUUCGGAGGAACACCAGUGGCGAAGGCGGCUCACUGGCUCGAUACUGACGCUGAGGUGCGAAAGCGUGGGGAGCAAACAGG